This 458-nucleotide ribosomal RNA is filed under the name uncultured bacterium. RNAcentral's name for it is "bacterial SSU rRNA". It matches the Rfam family "Bacterial small subunit ribosomal RNA", at positions 340 to 786 of the family's 1533-position model. The record is from RNAcentral.
UACGGGAGGCAGCAGUGGGGAAUAUUGCACAAUGGGCGAAAGCCUGAUGCAGCUAUGCCGCGUGUAUGAAGAAGGCCUUAGGGUUGUAAAGUACUUUCAUCGGGGAGGAAAAACAAAACUAAUAAUUUUAUUUCUUGACGUUACCCGAAAAAGAAGCACCGGCUAACUCCGUGCCAGCAGCCGCGGUAAUACGGAGGGUGCUAGCGUUAAUCAGAAUUACUGGGCGUAAAGAGCACGUAGGUGGUUUUUUUAAAGUCAGAUGUGAAAUCCCUGGGCUUAACCUGGAACUGCAUUUUGAAACUGAAAUACUAGAGUAUCGUAGAGGGAGGUAGAAUUCUAGGUGUAGCGGUGAAAUGCGUAGAUAUCUGGAGGAAUACCUGUGGCGAAAGCGGCCUACCGUAAACGAUACUGACACUGGAGGUGACGAAGUCGUGGGAGCAAACGAGGUAUUAGACUAC